Molecule: ribosomal RNA, 468 nt
Filed under: uncultured bacterium
Lineage: Bacteria
Description: partial 16S ribosomal RNA
Rfam family: Bacterial small subunit ribosomal RNA
Source: RNAcentral
GACGAACGCUGGCGGCGUGCUUAACACAUGCAAGUCGAACGGAAAGGCCCUGCUUUUGUGGGGUGCUCGAGUGGCGAACGGGUGAGUAACACGUGAGUAACCUGCCCUUGACUUUGGGAUAACUUCAGGAAACUGGGGCUAAUACCGGAUAGGAGCUCCUGCUGCAUGGUGGGGGUUGGAAAGUUUCGGCGGUUGGGGAUGGACUCGCGGCUUAUCAGCUUGUUGGUGGGGUAGUGGCUUACCAAGGCUUUGACGGGUAGCCGGCCUGAGAGGGUGACCGGCCACAUUGGGACUGAGAUACGGCCCAGACUCCUACGGGAGGCAGCAAUGGGGAAUAUUGCACAAUGGGCGGAAGCCUGAUGCAGCAACGCCGCGUGCGGGAUGACGGCCUUCGGGUUGUAAACCGCUUUCGCGUGUGACGAAGCGUGAGUGACGGUAAUGGGUAAAGAAGCACCGGCUAACUACGUG